CGUCAAGUCAUCAUGCCCCUUAUGACCUGGGCUACACACGUACUACAAUGGCCGGUACAACGCGCGGCGACACGGCGACGUGAAGCGAAUCGCUUAAAACCGGUCUCAGUUCGGAUCGGGGGCUGAAACCCGCCCCCGUGAAGUCGGAAUCGCUAGUAAUCUCGGGUCAGCAUACCGAGGUGAAUACGUUCCCGGGCCUU
Molecule: ribosomal RNA, 200 nt
Filed under: uncultured organism
Description: partial small subunit ribosomal RNA
Rfam family: Bacterial small subunit ribosomal RNA
Source: RNAcentral